GCAUAUCAAUAAGCGCGGAGGAAAAGAAACCAACAGGGAUUGCCUCAGUAGCGGCGAGUGAAGCGGCAAGAGCUCAGAUUUGAAAUCGUGCUUUGCGGCACGAGUUGUAGAUUGCAGGUUGGAGUCUGUGUGGAAGGCGGUGUCCAAGUCCCUUGGAACAGGGCGCCCAGGAGGGUGAGAGCCCCGUGGGAUGCCGGCGGAAGCAGUGAGGCCCUUCUGACGAGUCGAGUUGUUUGGGAAUA
RNAcentral lists this ribosomal RNA (242 nucleotides) under uncultured Pichia. RNAcentral's name for it is "partial 26S ribosomal RNA". It matches the Rfam family "Eukaryotic large subunit ribosomal RNA", at positions 38 to 282 of the family's 3401-position model. Lineage: Eukaryota; Fungi; Ascomycota; Saccharomycetes; Saccharomycetales; Saccharomycetaceae. The record is from RNAcentral.